AUUGAGCGCUGGCGGCAUGCCUUACACAUGCAAGUCGAACGGCAGCGCGGACUUCGGUCUGGCGGCGAGUGGCGAACGGGUGAGUAAUACAUCGGAACGUACCCUGUUGUGGGGGAUAACUAGUCGAAAGAUUAGCUAAUACCGCAUACGACCUGAGGGUGAAAGUGGGGGACCGCAAGGCCUCACGCAGCAGGAGCGGCCGAUGUCUGAUUAGCUAGUUGGUGGGGUAAAGGCCCACCAAGGCGACGAUCAGUAGCUGGUCUGAGAGGACGUGCAGCCACACUGGGACUGAGACACGGCCCAGACUCCUACGGGAGGCAGCAGUGGGGAAUUUUGGACAAUGGGGGCAACCCUGAUCCAGCAAUGCCGCGUGUGUGAAGAAGGCCUUCGGGUUGUAAAGCACUUUUGUCCGGAAAGAAAUCGCGCUGGUUAAUACCUGGCGUGGAUGACGGUACCGGAAGAAUAAGCACCGGCUAACUACGUGCCAGCCGCCGCCGUAA
RNAcentral lists this ribosomal RNA (500 nucleotides) under uncultured bacterium. RNAcentral's name for it is "partial 16S ribosomal RNA". It matches the Rfam family "Bacterial small subunit ribosomal RNA", at positions 29 to 523 of the family's 1533-position model. The record is from RNAcentral.